This 253-nucleotide ribosomal RNA is filed under the name uncultured bacterium. RNAcentral's name for it is "partial 16S ribosomal RNA". It matches the Rfam family "Bacterial small subunit ribosomal RNA", at positions 524 to 776 of the family's 1533-position model. The record is from RNAcentral.
UACGUAGGGUGCGAGCGUUAAUCGGAAUUACUGGGCGUAAAGCGUGCGCAGGCGGUUUUGUAAGUCAGAUGUGAAAGCCCCGGGCUUAACCUGGGAAUGGCAUUUGGGACUGCAAGGCUUGAGUGCGGCAGAGGAGACUGGAAUUCCUGGUGUAGCAGUGAAAUGCGUAGAUAUCAGGAGGAACACCGGUGGCGAAGGCGGGUCUCUGGGCCGAUACUGACGCUGAGGAGCGAAAGCGUGGGGAGCGAACAGG